AAUGACCAUCGAAAAAAAAAGGAAACAAAAUAAAGAGAAAAGAAAAGAGAAAUUUGAUGGAACAAAGAAAAUCACUCACUGAAUGAGAAACACUCAGUUGGGUAUAAAACCAAAGACAAAACUAAUUGAGUAACGGAAUUGAAAAAGAAAAAGAAAAGUAAAUGAUAUGUUAGAACAAACACAGUGAGAAGAAUAAUAACAUUGACUCUGAACCC
Molecule: long non-coding RNA, 215 nt
Filed under: Lathyrus oleraceus (garden pea)
Lineage: Eukaryota; Viridiplantae; Streptophyta; Magnoliopsida; Fabales; Fabaceae
Description: Pisum sativum (pea) long non-coding RNA (PSAT_LNC034615)
Source: RNAcentral